UACGGAGGGUGCAAGCGUUGCUCGGAAUCACUGGGCGUAAAGAGCGUGUAGGCGGUUUCGUAUGUCUGGCGUGAAAGCCCCGGGCUCACCCCGGGAAGUGCGCUGGAAACUGCGAAACUAGAGUCCCGGAGAGGAAGGUGGAAUUCCAGGUGUAGCGGUGAAAUGCGUAGAUAUCUGGAAGAACACCGGUGGCGAAGGCGGCCUUCUGGACGGUGACUGACGCUGAGACGCGAAAGCGUGGGGAGCAAACAGGAUUAGAUACCCCCGUAGUCC
RNAcentral lists this ribosomal RNA (273 nucleotides) under uncultured bacterium. Its description in RNAcentral is "partial 16S ribosomal RNA". It matches the Rfam family "Bacterial small subunit ribosomal RNA", at positions 524 to 796 of the family's 1533-position model. The record is from RNAcentral.